GUACUCUCACACUCCCGAUCUUGUUGGGAGCGGUGGACUUGGGUGUUGCUGCUUACCGUGGCUCACCUCAAAUGGAUUCGUGCAUCUCUUGGUUGGACAUAGUACGGCGUGAUAAGUGUCUUCGCCGGCGCCUCACUAGAGGGUGGCCGAUCGGGAGCUCUGUGCUUCUAACCGUCUUCGGACAACAACUGACA
Molecule: unclassified non-coding RNA, 194 nt
Filed under: uncultured Sebacina
Lineage: Eukaryota; Fungi; Basidiomycota; Agaricomycetes; Sebacinales; Sebacinaceae
Description: sequence contains ITS2
Source: RNAcentral